AGUCUAUUCUCUCUGAAGCCUGUUGCUUGACAGCUUUAUCUGCAUGAAAAAACCUUGGUAUUAGCCACCCCUUAUGCUAACCCAGACAUUCUUGUCUAUUAAUUCUAUGUCUUAGACAAUAAUAUAACUCAACCAAUUGUCAAUAGAAAAUCCUUGAAAUAGCCUAUGACCUGAAAGUCCCUACUCCCAGUUGUCCUGCCUAUCCAGACCAAGUCAAUGUAAAACUUACAUAUAUUGAUUGAUGUCUAAUGUCUCUCUAAAUUGCAUUAAAACUAAGUUGUAGCCUGAGCACCAUGAUGAUAUGUUCUUAGGAUCUCCAGAGGGAUAUGUAACAGGCCAUUACUGGCUCAUAUUUGGCUCAGAAUAAAACUCUUCAAAUAUUUUAAAGUGUUUGACUCUUUUCAUCAAUAACAACUUGACACGUGAACAUCUGGUGCCUCAGACAAAACUCAGGACACCGUAAAACUUGCCUGAACGUGAAGCUAAGUAGCAACAGAGGCUCACUGAAUGUCUCUCCAAUUUUGAGCUUCUUCUUCAGUGGAACUGAUCUCAGAGAAAGAAGCACCAAGUCCUCGGGGGCAAGAAGUGAAGGCUACACAUUGAAGAAGUGGUAUGUUAUGUGACUUGAGACUUGAAGAAAUACAAGAUUGACAAGUGGACAAAUAGAGCACACUAUGGAUAAAUAAAACUGCAUAUCCUCCAC
This 703-nucleotide long non-coding RNA is filed under the name Papio anubis (olive baboon). RNAcentral describes it as "lncRNA (ENSPANG00000050730.1)". Lineage: Eukaryota; Metazoa; Chordata; Mammalia; Primates; Cercopithecidae. The record is from RNAcentral.